Dermacentor andersoni is the source of this 2083-nucleotide long non-coding RNA. RefSeq lists it as uncharacterized. The record is from RefSeq and is a predicted model, not a curated record. NCBI's taxonomy places the organism in Eukaryota, Metazoa, Arthropoda, Arachnida, Ixodida, Ixodidae.
GCGAUAACGGCAACUGGGAUCCAGCGGCGAAGGGCGAUAACGUACGGUGCAUGAAGGAAAGAACUGGGCACAAGAGCGCAUGCGCCAACAGCUGAGAUUUUAGAUUAAAAUAUGGUUUAAGAAGCGGUCGCUGGGCGUCACGCCCGUCAUAUUGCAUUUCACGCUACCGUAAUUUCUUUCUCUAGGCUACCGUCGCCGGCGUCAGCUGAACCUCUGCAUUCUACCAGAUGCUCUGGCAGCCAUUGUCGUCAGUAGCCACCCUAACAUUUCACCGACUCAAAAGCAACCGUGGCUGCCACCUCCGAGUCCUGCUGUUCCGAGUCCUGCUGUUCCGAGUCCUGCUGUUCCGAGUCCUGCUGUUCCGAGUCCUGCUGUUCCGAGUCCUGCUCCGGGCGUGCUUCGAAGCUUUGCGUCGCGGCUGCUCCGGUUAUGGCCUCGACCUUUGAAAGCGCGGUUACCGGACCCACUUUUGCUCCGGAAUUCUCGCACGACAUUCAUUGGAGCUCGUGGAACACACGUGUUACGCCCGGCGGACAUUUCAUUAUUGUCCAUGAGCAGCCGCGUAUGACGCCGACGCCUCCGUUGCUGCCUACAAGUCUGAAGUCGCGCCUGCCUUCAAGUUUUCGUUUGUGGUGCGCGCGUGUUCCCACCCGUACGAGAAGGCUCGACAACGAACUGACCGUGCCACAACAAAGCAACGCCACGUGCCUCACCAGCCCACUUACAAGGUGGAUCCCGUGCAGCCUAUAGUGACUGGCACUAUUCCGAGGGACAACGAAGCAGCUGUCGUCGCUACUUCAGCAGCGAAUUCACGACGUGGGAGUCUCUUAGCUCGCGAGGGUGGCGUGGCUAUCGAAUUGUCUACUAAGCUAAUUGGCAGUAUUAACCCUUUUAAACUGAUUGGCACGAAAACGCCGCAGCCACAUCGGGUCGUCCUCGUGAUGGAAGCGGGAAGGACGACGUGGGGCGAUUGUAGCUUUAGGCUUAGCCGACACUACGCAGGCUCAGCUGGCUGCGCUCUCGCUUGCAACACGACCGGACGUCGGCCCGUUCCGAGUGCUAUUGCUUCCCGACCAUGCUUUCGCGCCACCGCGCGCGAAAUGUGGGAUCGCGGAAGUAAAUGGCACCCGGAAUUAGUGUCGGGUUUUCUUUUCUUUUUUUUUCUAGCGCAACAGAAGAACGGACGUUGCCUCCGGUCGGCAGCGCGGGGCGCUGCGGCGAAGACGGUGGUGGGUGGUCACAUUGUUCCGUUUUCUGUCUCACCCCGUGCUUUCUUCGCUCGACACGCCAACCAUUUUUGACGAGUCCAUCGUUCACGCCAGCGCGAUGACACUUGUUAUGUUCCGCGACCUGUACCUUGGCCCCUGGGACACGUGAGCAUGUUCCUGCACCAGGCCAUGUCUCGGACAGAUGAUGUUCAGCACCUGUCAUCCCGCCACUCACCACGUAUCUGCUUCUGCCUCAGAGCUAUUGGUGUCCUGGGGAAUGAAGAAACCUGCUGGCCCCCGCCCUGCAGUACGUUGAUUGCACUCUGGAACCCUUGUCUUGACAUCCGCCGCCCGUCAAGACCUGUCCUGCCCACGUAGUAUGCGGUGAAAUCUACUGCUGACCGCAAGGAGGCAGGCGUUGCUCUCGCCGCAAUUCAUCACAUUGCUACGCCCGAAGACGUGGAGCUGCAGGAAAAGUCCUUCGCUCUGUGCUACCUCGACGACGGUACGCAACUACGGAGUCAUGACGCGAAUACAGAUCUGACGUCGCUGUUGCAGUUGUUCAUUCUAUCCUGUAGCUUUAUCACGGCCGCUCGGCAAAGACGCACAUUGUUAUUGGCUGUAUAUUCGGCGGACCAAACAAUUCCAGGCGACAAGCCGUUCCGGAUCAUCAGAGGUACUCUGCUCAGGGGAUAACAUUGGCUUGAUCUGGGGAUUCCUGCUCGUGAACUUUCAUUCCCAUUCUGUGCCCUCGUGUAAUGGUACCCUGAUGCUGGUCCACGUUGCGAAGUUGCACGCGCGUAUGUAUUCGUUUGAGCAUGCGUAAGCGAGCGUGUUGCUGUUUUUGUGUUGUCUGUUUUUUGUAUAUAUAUAUA